RNAcentral lists this long non-coding RNA (696 nucleotides) under Homo sapiens (human). RNAcentral's name for it is "long non-coding RNA NONHSAT251536". The record is from RNAcentral. Lineage: Eukaryota; Metazoa; Chordata; Mammalia; Primates; Hominidae.
UUAAGGAUAAAGAGCAUUGUUCCAAAAGACAUCUUUUUAAGAACUAGGAAGAGUGGGAAGAAUAUUAGCCUCCUCCAAGUCAAUAAUAAGGAUUCUUAUUAGAGGAUUCUGAUGAGGCCACUUACACAUGUAUAGAAAGACAGGGCCAGGUGUGGUGGCUUACGCCUGUAAUCCCAGCACUUUGGGAGGCCGAGGCAGGCAGAUUACUUGAGGUCAGGAGUUCAAGGCCAGCCUAGUCAACAUGGUGAAAUCCCAUCUCUACUAAAAAUACAAAAAGUAGCCGGGCAUGGUGGCAGGCACCUAUAAUCCCAGUUACCAGGGAGGCUGAGGCAGGAAAAUUGCUGGAACCCAGGAGACGGAGGUUGCAGUGAAGCCAAUGUACUCCAGCCUGGGCAACAAGAACAAAACUCCGUCUCAAAAAACAAAAAGAAAGACAAAAAUCAAGGAUCUACAACAUAUGGAAGAAGAAGGGGUUCCCUGAAGAUACAUCUGGUAAUUUCACUAUGUUUUGCAGGCCAAGACUUAAUAGUGAAAAUAAUUCAACUUUUCAGCUUAAAAACAAAAAACAAAAAAACAAUUUUCUCCUAAACAUGUAACUAUUGAAAAAUCUAAGAUACAGGGAAUCAGAAGCAAUGUAUGAGAGAAGGCAUAUGUUUGGUUAAUGUGUUUCAUUAUAUGUUAAAUGUAGUUCCCCAC